This is a long non-coding RNA of Caretta caretta (loggerhead turtle), 1768 nucleotides long. RefSeq lists it as uncharacterized. Lineage: Eukaryota; Metazoa; Chordata; Testudines; Cheloniidae. The record is from RefSeq and is a predicted model, not a curated record.
UUAUCACAGAGCAGAGUUGGCGGCUUGAAACUCACAGUCAGGAAAAAAAAAGAGGCUGAUUUGAUGAAAUAAUUACAAGAGACGGAACGAGAGGGAGAAGGAGAGUUUACAGCUGGCAGGAACCUGAAAGGGCAGAGUCGAUUCGUAGGAAAGUGUUGGCGAUUUUAGCUGUUCCUCACUGCAGUCUAGAUUGUGACCCCAUUGCUUGUGCUGAGUGCUGCCUCUGGCUGGUCUAAGUGCUUAAUCCUGCUGUGGGGACAGUGUUUCUGUGGAAGAGAUGGCCCAGUCCGCACUAGCAGCAAGGUUUCCCCACUGACAGCUGGAUGGAACCUCAAGAGACCAACUCACAGAGGUCACAGUGGCAGGUGGCAGCAGAAGGUGAUGGCGCAGGGCCAUUGGCAACAGAGCAGUGGAGUCAACGGUGGCACAACGAACAACACUGGCUAGAGCGAACAGUGAGCAGCUGGAGGAACAAACAAGGUGCCUUCUUGCCCCCCACCUGGGAGAUGAACUCAUGUGAAAGCACCUCUGAACUCUGAGUCUCUACUGACCAAGGACAACACCGGUCAAAGUGAAAAUGAAAAGACAAAAAACAAUACAACAAUUUUUCCACUCAAAAGUCUCAAAAACUAAGCAAGGUGAAGAACACAUCAAGAACCAAGAAUAUAUCAACAUGUCAUCUGAAGGUUCAAGUGGUGUAUCUACAUCCAACCAGCCCGAAGCACAAAUACACCUACCUACUGAAGAAACAGUGUCUCCAAAACCUAAAGGCAAUUCCCGAUGUUUGUCAGUCAAAGUGUUCCCAUUUAUUGAAGUUACAAAAGACGGCUACUGGUCCACCUCUUGCAAAAAAACUUACGAAGAAGGAAAGCUUCCCAAUGCUAUGAUUGGUAAAAGUGGAGGAGCUGGGUUUGUCAGACUGAUCAGCAAAGCCAAUGCUGACAAACUACACGAAAAGGCAGCAAAACACCAGGCCUCUGGGCUGCAGAAAGCCUUAUAAGCCCACUUUCAAAGCCAAUUUUAAAAGUACUUAAUGAGGCUGUUAAGAAUGCUGGAGACACAACACAGUUCAUGCAAAGAAACACGGCCGUGGCCUCCUACUGUCUAUUUAAGCAAGAGAUACCACGCACUACAAAUUGCAGGCCAAUGGUAAGUGCAUUGUCACUUGUUCAUCCUGUAGCUGAACACUGGUUCCGAACAAGACCCGCAAAUGCUCGCUAUCUUUCUGCAAGAAACUCAACUGACUGGCUAGACGCGUGUGGUGCAACAGUGAAAGACUCAAUAGUUGAAAAAGUGAAGAACUCUCUCACCACAUUCAAAAAAAUUGCAUACAUGGCUGAUGAAUGCACUGACGCAAAUGGGCAUCAAGUAUUAAGUCAUUGUGUACGUUAUCUUGAUGUCAGUGGUAAGACAGUAGAUGCAAUUCUAGAUGUUCAAGUUAUAGAAGACACAUUGGCUGCAUCUGUGACAACCCACAUCGUAGAAGAAUUAAAAUUCUUGUCAAUUGGACCCCAAACAGAUGGCUGCUUGUGCAUUUGAUGGAGCUGCAAACUUCUCUGGAAGCCAUGGUGGAGUACAAGCUUUGCUCAGAGAAAAGUUUCAGAGUAGCAGCCGUGUUAGUCUGUAUCCGCAAAAAGAAAAGGAGUACUUGUGGCACCUUAGAGACUAACCAAUUUAUUUAAGCAUAAGCUCAAAUAAUGUGCUAUUACCUUCAGAGAAGACUAUUGCCAUUCUCUCUCUCGUAAAAAGAAAAGGAGUACUUGUGGCA